CGUGAUGAUGUAAUCUCAAUAGAGAAUGAAAUUCAUGAGGAAUUACAACAGAAAAGAAAGGGGCAGUCAAAUUAACAAGCUCUAGCUUUUCUCUCAAGUGUUGUGGCUAAGAGCAAAGUAUCGUCUUCUCUCACGUGUUGCAGCAGUUGUCCUCAUCUUCAUCUUCCCACGUGUUACAGUCGAUAGGAUCUUCAUCUUCUCACAUAU
This 207-nucleotide long non-coding RNA is filed under the name Cucumis sativus (cucumber). RNAcentral describes it as "long non-coding RNA (CSAT_LNC002733)". The record is from RNAcentral. Lineage: Eukaryota; Viridiplantae; Streptophyta; Magnoliopsida; Cucurbitales; Cucurbitaceae.